RNAcentral lists this ribosomal RNA (451 nucleotides) under Pristimantis altamnis. RNAcentral describes it as "partial 16S ribosomal RNA". It matches the Rfam family "Bacterial large subunit ribosomal RNA", at positions 1949 to 2606 of the family's 2925-position model. Lineage: Eukaryota; Metazoa; Chordata; Amphibia; Anura; Strabomantidae. The record is from RNAcentral.
UGCAAAGGUAGCGUAAUCACUUGUCCUCUAAAUAGGGACCAGUAUGAAAGGCAUCACGAGGACUAAACUGUCUCCUUUUUCUAAUCAGUGAACCUAAUCUCCCCGUGAAAAAGCGAGGAUCCUCAUAUAAGACGAGAAGACCCUAUGGAGCUUAAAACAUAACAAUAUUUGGCAUUAUUAUUGUGUGUUUUUGGUUGGGGCGACCGCGGAGAAAAACCUAUCCUCCUCAAUGAACAAACAACAAGUUACAACUUUAAGUAUCAAAAAAUUGACAUCCUUGACCCAAUAAAUUGAUUAAUGAACCAAGUUACCCUAGGGAUAACAGCACAAUCCACUUUGAGAGCUCCUAUCGACAAGUGGGCUUAUGACCUCGAUGUUGGAUUAGGGUAUCCUAGUGGUGCAGCCGCUACUAAAGGUUCGUUUGUUCAACGAUUAAAACCCCACGUGAUCU